Long non-coding RNA from Ficedula albicollis (Collared flycatcher), 1497 nucleotides. RefSeq lists it as uncharacterized. The transcript has 4 exons. Lineage: Eukaryota; Metazoa; Chordata; Aves; Passeriformes; Muscicapidae. The record is from RefSeq and is a predicted model, not a curated record.
GCCUGGCCGCCUUUAGCCCGCCGUGCUGCGGGCAGCAGGGCAGGGGCGGCAGCAGUGCCCUCUCUUCCAGGCGCCCCGCAAGAAGAGAGGCGCUGAACGCUGCCAGCACGGCGGUGGCAGCGGGAACCGCGGGGCCAGCUGCGAGCGGCAUGGCGAGCAUUUGCCCAAGACAGAGCCCAGAUGAGAUCAGCCUCUUAGCGCUGAAAAACUCUGUAGGAACUUUUCAGUGGAUAGAACUUGAGACCAAACGAACCUACGGAUAACAAAUUUCUUCUGAGUCAGAAAAAAAGUAGCUGAAGACACCUGAGGAGAACAGCAUGGUUCUCUAGGGUUAGUGAGAGGAGGAAAGAGGAGGAGCUCCAAACGUCAGAGCUGAGAUUCUUCUGCAAGCCGUGGUGAGGACUAUAGUACAACAAACUAUUUCCCCGUAAUACGUGAAGUGCAUGCGGGGAUGCAGAGAUCCAUUCACAGCCCAUGAAAUAAGGUGCUCAUGCUGGAGUGACUGGAUUACAGCUGAAAAGCUGUAAUUUAGUGGGAAACUGGAACAGAGAGAGAAGAUAGAGAGCCCUUUCUUCCAAACUAGAACAGUUUAUCCUUAAAAGAUUACACCCCAUGAACCGAAUGACCUACACAAAACAGUUUUGGGCAGACUGUUUUGCCCGUGGGAGGGACUUGCGUUGCAGCAGGUCGGGCGGUCCCGCUACUCGUGAAACUUAGAACCACACUGGAGAAGUUCACAGAGAACUGUCUCCCGUGGGAAGGACCCCAUGGCAUAGCAAAAGAGACUCCUCCCUCUAAGUGAACUGAAGAAAGAUUUCAGAUUGUUGGCCUACGUGAGUCUGAACGAAAAUUACAAGUGCAGAUUGAAGAACAGGAAAUGAAGUCCAUGCACCAGAAAAACAUGAUGCAUGAAUUGGAAUCUGCACUUGAACAGAUCAAGUUGCAGUGUGACAGACAGCUCACUCACCAGCGCCAAGAACAUGAGAAAAAAAUACAGUUUAUAUUGAAUCAUUUCAAAGAACAAAAUAGUGAAAGUGUUGCAGAAACCCUGAAAGGGUAUGAAGUAAAAAUCCAGCAACUGGAAAAAGAUUUAUUUUUCUAUAAGAAAACCAGCAGAGAGCUGAAAAAGAAAUUGAAGGGCCUUCUUGGAGAGUCACCUGAAUAACUAUUGUCAUCCACUAAAUAAUCCAGAUGUCCAACAGAGCUAUUCCCGUGGAGGAGAAAAGAAGGUUCAGCUUCAUCACUGUUUCUGUUGUCUCAUACAUCUCAGUAUGAGAUGCAUCAGUAUAGCCUUCUUGGCCUGCUGGUGUUUCUUUUUAAGGCUCAGGCAAGACUGGUUAUUCCUCUCAAUGGAUGCUUCUGCUUCUUUCCACUCAGUGCCAUGCCUUCCUACAGAGACAUGCUGAUCACAUACAUCUACUCCCAGAGUAAAUUAGGGUUCAGCCCCUUCCCUUUAGGCACGGUAAUGAGCCUACACAUUCAUUACUGUAAAGUACA